Molecule: ribosomal RNA, 496 nt
Filed under: uncultured bacterium
Lineage: Bacteria
Description: partial 16S ribosomal RNA
Rfam family: Bacterial small subunit ribosomal RNA
Source: RNAcentral
GUGAACGCUGGCGGCGUGCCUAAUACCUGCAAGUCGAGCGAACAGAUGAGGAGCUUGCUCCUCUGACGUUAGCGGCGGACGGGUGAGUAACACGUGGAUAACCUACCUAUAAGACUGGGAUAACUUCGGGAAACCGGAGCUAAUACCGGAUAAUAUAUUGAACCGCAUGGUUCAAUAGUGAAAGACGGUUUUGCUGUCACUUAUAGAUGGAUCCGCGCCGCAUUAGCUAGUUGGUAAGGUAACGGCUUACCAAGGCAACGAUGCGUAGCCGACCUGAGAGGGUGAUCGGCCACACUGGAACUGAGACACGGUCCAGACUCCUACGGGAGGCAGCAGUAGGGAAUCUUCCGCAAUGGGCGAAAGCCUGACGGAGCAACGCCGCGUGAGUGAUGAAGGUCUUCGGAUCGUAAAACUCUGUUAUUAGGGAAGAACAAAUGUGUAAGUAACUAUGCACGUCUUGACGGUACCUAAUCAGAAAGCCACGGCUAACUACGUG